CUCCGUCACAUCGAAUCUUUAGAUGUAUGCAUGGAGUAUUAAAUAUAGACAAAAAUAAAAAUUAAUUACACAGUUUGGUCGGAAUUGACGAGACAAAUCUUUUGAGCUUAGUUAGUCCAUGAUUGGACAAUAUUUAUUAAAAACAAACAAAAAUGCUACAGUGUCGAUUUCCCAAAAUAUUUUGGAACUAAACGAGUAGUAUGGUGCCUGACUGCGGUGACGACGGAUUCACGGAUCACGGCCUGUUCCCUAGUAGUUUGACUUGAGCAGAUCAACAAGACAGGCUGGGCCGUAGAUUACUUGCGGCCUUGUUAGCCCAGCUCGACAGCAAACAGCUGGACCGAACUCUUCAAGGCCAGGAGUAGUACUUUAUUUAGCCUGGCCCAUACCUCAAUCUCUUUCAUCAGAGCAACGUUGGAAGGAGCAAACCCUGUCCAACGAAACAUGCUUCCUGCACAGUAACAGUUACAGAGUAAAAUGAAAAGGUGAAACCAACCGCAUCGCAUUAUCGUAAAAGAAGAUUGCACGCAAGUUACCACACAUACAUGGAUGCAAUACCUGUGCAUUGAGAUAUGGUCCCAACUCCUAACCAUGAACAAUGCUAAAAAAAAAUUACUGACCUUUGUAAAGUUGGCAGGUUUCCUGUGUUCUCGUACUGACCUUUGUAACAUAUGCUCCAGAACAGCUGGCCAUCCUGAUCAUCACACCAUGCUAUUCCACUUCCGACUCAUGAAAAAUAACACCUGAAAUGUUAGAUAAACGAAGCCCAAUUACAUAGUUAAGAUUUGUUUUCAGUUAUGGCCUGAAGACUCUCCAGGCAGAAUAGGCCUAAUUGUUCCUAGGGAGAUACAAGUAGGUUGGCCACUUGGCCUACGAACCUGCAUACAGGCUUAAUUCAGCAGGUUGCCCGCGACAAGCCACAAAACUAAGCCUAUAUGCUAGUUCACGGGCCAACCCACUUGCAUCCCAGAUUGUUCUCUUUAUUU
Molecule: long non-coding RNA, 986 nt
Filed under: Sorghum bicolor (sorghum)
Lineage: Eukaryota; Viridiplantae; Streptophyta; Magnoliopsida; Poales; Poaceae
Description: long non-coding RNA (SBIC_LNC013345)
Source: RNAcentral